UCAAGAGUAGCGUAGCGGAGGGGAAACACCCGUUCCCAUCCCGAACACGGCAGUGAAGCCCUCCAGCGCCGAUGGUACUGCCUGGGCAACCGGGUUGCCGGGAUAAGAAAACUCCCGGU
Molecule: ribosomal RNA, 119 nt
Filed under: Candidatus Methylomirabilota bacterium
Lineage: Bacteria; Methylomirabilota (SeqCode)
Source: RNAcentral